CCGGCGACCGGCGCACGGGUGAGUAACACGUAUGCAAUCCACCUGUAACAGGGGGAUAACCCGGAGAAAUCCGGACUAAUACCCCAUAAUAUGGGCUCUCCGCAUGGAGGGUCCAUUAAAGAGAGCAAUUUUGGUUACAGACGAGCAUGCGCUCCAUUAGCCAGUUGGCGGGGUAACGGCCCACCAAAGCGACGAUGGAUAGGGGUUCUGAGAGGAAGGUCCCCCACGUUGGAACUGAGACACGGUCCAA
Molecule: ribosomal RNA, 250 nt
Filed under: uncultured bacterium
Lineage: Bacteria
Description: partial 16S ribosomal RNA
Rfam family: Bacterial small subunit ribosomal RNA
Source: RNAcentral